RNAcentral lists this ribosomal RNA (269 nucleotides) under uncultured anaerobic ammonium-oxidizing bacterium. RNAcentral describes it as "partial 16S ribosomal RNA". It matches the Rfam family "Bacterial small subunit ribosomal RNA", at positions 565 to 832 of the family's 1533-position model. The record is from RNAcentral.
GAGCACGUAGGUGGGUUUGUAAGUCAGAUGUGAAAACCUUCUGUUCAACGGAAGAAUUGCAUCUGAAACUACAAACCUUGAGUAUAGGAGGGGAGAGUGGAACUUCUGGUGGAGCGGUGAAAUGCGUAGAUAUCAGAAGGAACGCCGGCGGCGAAAGCGACUCUCUGGCCUAUAACUGACACUGAGUGUGCGAAAGCUAGGGGAGCAAACGGGAUUAGAUACCCCGGUAGUCCUAGCCGUAAACGAUGGGCACUAAGUAGAGGGGUUUU